AUUGAACGCUGGCGGCAGGCCUAACACAUGCAAGUCGAGCGGAUGAAGGGAGCCUGCUCCUGGAUUCAGCGGCGGACGGGUGAGUAAUGCCUAGGAAUCUGCCUGGUAGUGGGGAAUAACGUCCGGAAACGGGCGCUAAUACCGCAUACGUCCUGAGGGAGAAAGUGGGGGAUCUUCGGACCUCACGCUAUCAGAUGAGCCUAGGUCGGAUUAGCUAGUUGGUGGGGUAAAGGCCUACCAAGGCGACGAUCCGUAACUGGUCUGAGAGGAUGAUCAGUCACACUGGAACUGAGACACGGUCCAGACUCCUACGGGAGGCAGCAGUGGGGAAUAUUGGACAAUGGGCGAAAGCCUGAUCCAGCCAUGCCGCGUGUGUGAAGAAGGUCUUCGGAUUGUAAAGCACUUUAAGUUGGGAGGAAGGGCAGUAAGUUAAUACCUUGCUGUUUUGACGUUACCAACAGAAUAAGCACCGGCUAACUUCGUG
This 484-nucleotide ribosomal RNA is filed under the name uncultured bacterium. Its description in RNAcentral is "partial 16S ribosomal RNA". It matches the Rfam family "Bacterial small subunit ribosomal RNA", at positions 30 to 507 of the family's 1533-position model. The record is from RNAcentral.